UGGCAGUGGCAGUGGUACAGC
This 21-nucleotide non-coding RNA is filed under the name Arabidopsis thaliana (thale cress). The record is from RNAcentral. Lineage: Eukaryota; Viridiplantae; Streptophyta; Magnoliopsida; Brassicales; Brassicaceae.